This is a long non-coding RNA of Hippocampus comes (tiger tail seahorse), 834 nucleotides long. RefSeq lists it as uncharacterized. The record is from RefSeq and is a predicted model, not a curated record. Lineage: Eukaryota; Metazoa; Chordata; Actinopteri; Syngnathiformes; Syngnathidae. The transcript has 2 exons.
AGGUCCGUCGUCACCGUUUGGAAAGAAAUAAUCCAGACAGCAGAGCUGAACAAUUAGAAAGACUGUUAAUGUAUGAAAAGUGAAACAGCGAUAAUGGGGACAGGACAUACACAAUAAAUUUCUACUUCUUCCGACUUCUUUUCACAUUGUAAAUAAUCAGGGAUGUGUAACACAAAAAGAGCAACCAACGAGACGCGUCAGUUGCUCUUCACAAUUGGAGGAGAAAAGAAGGAUCAAGAGGGUGUGGGGGGGCUCUUCCUUAUUUGGAGAGUGAGUGACAGAGAGAAGGGGGCGGGCUCUUGUGACUCACUUCCGGAGUAGUAAGAAAAAAAAAAGUAGCCGGCAACUUUUGUCCAGCACACACUCACUCACUUGGAGCGACGUGUUUUUUUUCCCUCCCCCUUCAACAGCCGCAGCAGGCGGGCGACACCGGACCGGAGCGACCUCCGCACUGAAGCCCGCCCCGCAACGCUCGACUGGCGGCUACGUGAAACCCGGGCGGCCCGCUGUCAGCUCCCGCUUCAUACCUGGUAGGACAUGGCGACAUUUACCGCUUUCUUCAUCAAUCUUCUUACUUGGACGGCUUCACCACCUGUACCGCUGCGUUUGUACGAAUGUAUUGGUCAGACGUGCCUGUUAUUACCACGUAAACUUCAUUCAAAGUCAACUUUCCAGUGGGAAGAACUUGGAAAAGGAACGAGAUCGUGGUCAGAAAUGCGCAUGACUUGUCGCUCGCGUUGGUUUUCGCUGCAAAGUUCUUGAUCAUCAGAAAUCAUGAAUCAACAUAUUUUGUGAGCUAUUCUCUUUUCACGAAAAGAAGAAAACGGGAAAAGG